AUUGAACGCUGGCGGCAGGCCUAACACAUGCAAGUCGAGCGGAUGAAGGGAGCUUGCUCCUGGAUUCAGCUGCGGACGGGUGAGUAAUGCCUAGGAAUCUGCCUGGUAGUGGGGGAUAACGUCCGGAAACGGGCGCUAAUACCGCAUACGUCCUGAGGGUGAAAGUGGGGGAUCUUCGGACCUCACGCUAUCAGAUGAGCCUAGGUCGGAUUAGCUAGUUGGUGGGGUAAAGGCCUACCAAGGCGACGAUCCGUAACUGGUCUGAGAGGAUGAUCAGUCACACUGGAACUGAGACACGGUCCAGACUCCUACGGGAGGCAGCAGUGGGGAAUAUUGGACAAUGGGCGAAAGCCUGAUCCAGCCAUGCCGCGUGUGUGAAGAAGGUCUUCGGAUUGUAAAGCACUUUAAGUUGGGAGGAAGGGAAGUAAGUUAAUACCUUGCUGUUUUGACGUUACCAACAGAAUAAGCACCGGCUAACUUCGUG
RNAcentral lists this ribosomal RNA (484 nucleotides) under uncultured bacterium. RNAcentral describes it as "partial 16S ribosomal RNA". It matches the Rfam family "Bacterial small subunit ribosomal RNA", at positions 30 to 507 of the family's 1533-position model. The record is from RNAcentral.